This 253-nucleotide ribosomal RNA is filed under the name uncultured bacterium. RNAcentral describes it as "partial 16S ribosomal RNA". It matches the Rfam family "Bacterial small subunit ribosomal RNA", at positions 524 to 776 of the family's 1533-position model. The record is from RNAcentral.
UACGAAGGGGGCUAGCGUUGCUCGGAAUCGCUGGGCGUAAAGCGCACGUAGGCGGCUUCUUAAGUCAGGGGUGAAAUCCUGGAGCUCAACUCCAGAACUGCCUUUGAUACUGAGGAGCUUGAGUCCGGGAGAGGUGAGUGGAACUGCGAGUGUAGAGGUGAAAUUCGUAGAUAUUCGCAAGAACACCAGUGGCGAAGGCGGCUCACUGGCCCGGUACUGACGCUGAGGUGCGAAAGCGUGGGGAGCAAACAGG